UACCAGUGCUAUAACUACUAACAAAACCUGGUGGUAACUCUACGGAUUUACAACGCUGAAAUCAGGGGUUCGAAAGCCCUCGGUGGACACAGUAGACAGCCCACUGUGGCUUUGGUACAAAGAACACAGGCACAUACAGACUUCUAUACUCAAAGUUAGACGUCACGUGACAAAGUGCACAGUUUUAGCGUUUUGUUGAUCAGACAUUGACAUACUCUGUUGGUACUGUCUUCAGUUCAGAGAUGAAUUUCUCCCACCUGCAGUAUUGAGCCCUUAAUCUACACGAAUAUUGCUUCUGUAUGCAUGGCCAUAUACAGAAGCAAGUUUAUACCAUGGAUACAAACAAUGCAACUAACAACUAUAAUCAGAACGCUCGAGAAAAGCUGUGUCAGACUUUGUCAGUGGUAGCGUUCUUCCUCAUGUAGGAGACUCGCGUCUUAGGC
Molecule: long non-coding RNA, 443 nt
Filed under: Limulus polyphemus (Atlantic horseshoe crab)
Lineage: Eukaryota; Metazoa; Arthropoda; Merostomata; Xiphosura; Limulidae
Description: uncharacterized LOC111089636, transcript variant X1
Source: RNAcentral